This is a long non-coding RNA of Ostrea edulis (European flat oyster), 3788 nucleotides long. RefSeq lists it as uncharacterized. NCBI's taxonomy places the organism in Eukaryota, Metazoa, Mollusca, Bivalvia, Ostreida, Ostreidae. The record is from RefSeq and is a predicted model, not a curated record. The transcript has 3 exons.
GUCCAUUGCUUAUAUCGUUAACAAAUUUGUUUUGACAUUUUUGAAAAGUAGAGUAGAAAUAUAUAAUUUUAAUUGUGAUGUUUCUUAGGAAUUUUAAGUCUAUGGAAACCCCCCAAAAAUUAUUUAUCUAUUGAAAAUGAUCAUUAACAGUCAUGGGUUUGUUGUUUAUUAACUACCGCUUAUAUCCAUGGUGCAACAAUAUGGCGUAUUGAUUGUAGUCAUUCAAUAUGUGCAUAUCUGUUUAUAAAAUUUUGUAAGGAAAUUUAAAAGGUUCACUUGGAUUAGCCAAGCACCAAUUAGCACCCUGGACAGCACAGGUAAACUAUAGAACUUAUGGAGGCCACUGGUGUUUUUCACACCUCCAGUAGAUAAUUUCCCACCUGGCCAGAAGGUCAGUCAUUAUUCACACCUGGCUGGUCUUAAUCACCCCUCUGGCCAAAAUUUUCUAGUCUUCAAAUAGUGGCUGGUAUUAUAAGGGUAAAUUACACAUGUUUGUUAACAAUUGUACUUUAAAAAGUGGCUGAUGUCCGGUUUUCAGGGGUGGCCGGUUUUGUGAGACUUUCUUUGUAAGGAAAUGUUAAGGUUUCUGCCGGGACUUUGAAAAUCGGCCGAUAUUCAGGGAGAACCGGUUUUCUGAGGGGCCGGUUUGGAGAAAUUUCACUGUAUAUAUAUAUAUUUGCCAUUUUUAUUCUUUGAGACGAGAAAAAAUUUGUUUUGAUUUAUAUAUAUAUAUAUUUUGGCUCAUUUUGGCCUUUUGACCUACUAAGGCUUUAAUUCUGAUGGUACCAAAAUUUGAUCUUCUGACCUUGACAUGAAUUUUUACCUACUUGUCUGAAAAGCGUUAAGUUUGGGGGCAUCCAUGGUUCACUUUCAUGUCUUGUUGCUGUUCAGACUGUGGACAGAUGUUGCUGUUAUGAAUGAUUAUCUAGCACAACCAUUUAAUGCAAAGUUAGAUAAGUUCAAAUAUUUUCAUUGCAAUCUUGGUAUUGUAUUGUGUGUGUUAAUCAUUUAUGAUGAAAAUGUUUUUUUGAUUUCUUCAUUUAUGCACUUUUUUUUUUUUUUAUACAUGUAUUUGUUUGAUUUUAAUUGAAUUAAUAAUUAGGAACAAUAUCUAAGAGAAUAUAAUAUAUAAGGAUAUUUAAUUUAGAAGGUUAAAAGAGACAAAAUAGGUGUAAAAUAAAGAUAAUUUAGAGCGUCAAGUCAACUGAAUUAAAGACAAAAAAGAGUGCAGCAAACUACAUUCGUAUUGUGAUUUGGUUUGAUUAUAUUUCAUUAAAUGUUUUUUCAUUUAUUAUUUGCAGGAGAAAUAGGAUUACGAAGAAGAGAAGCUUUGUCAUAAUUUUUUAUAGCAUGAAAUGAAUACAAUUUCUCAUAUAUUAAGAUUCAUUUUUUCAGGACAUAUGGUUGGUAAUAUUCAUGAAAACUAGCAGAACUCCAGUACAUUUGAAGUGUUAGUCAAGUAUACUUUAGAAGAGGCAAGCAAAGUCUGGAAAAUGCCCUAAAUGGUACCCGAAAAGUGCCAAAAAUGGUACUCAGAGUGUACCUAAAAUGGUACUUAUGCUGUACCCGGAAAGUACCUAAAAUGUACCCAGUUUGUACUCAAAAUGGCAUCCGGGGUUUUGUACCUAAAAUUGUACCCUUAAAGUACCUAUAAUGUACUCAGUUUGUACCUAAAAACUGUCUAAUUUGGUAAUCAGAUUUUACCAAUAAUGUACCCGAGUAGUACCUAAAAUAGUACUGGAAUUGUACCUAAGAUGUACCCAAAAAGUUUCUGAAAUGGUACCUGGAUUGAAUCAAUAAUGUACCCUGAAAAUGUAUCAAAGAAAUGUACCCAAAAGGUACCCCAAAAUGGGAACAAUGUUGACAAAAUUGUACCUAAAAGGUACCCCUAAAUUAGAAACUUUCAAAGUUUAAAUAAUAAUGUACCCAAAAGGUACCCCAAAAAUUAAAACCUUAAAAAGUUGUAUGGGAAAGAAAAAUGUGCCCAAAAAAGUACCUACCUGCAGGUAAAAAAAAAUUAAAGUGCGGUUCCAAAUAGAGUAGUGUUUCGGGUACCUUUUGGAUACAUUCCGGGUACCUUUGGGUACAUUCUGGGUACUUUUUACAGUACCCAAUGUGUACAACAAAAGUACCCAAAGUGUACUCCAAGCAUUAAAAAUAGAAAGUUGUAUGGGAAAGAAUAAUGUACCCCAAAAAGUACCCGCCUGCAGGUAAAUUUUUUUCUUAAAGGUCAACUGAAACGAUUUUCAAAGUUCGUUUUUCAAAUAAAUUCAGUAAGAAAAUACCAUUCCUUAAAUGUUUUCGCAUAAGAAUAAUUUUUGUUUCGAUCAUCCAGGUAGAUACGACAUCGUUAAUUUCAACCCGGUAAAUUUUAUUGUAUGAUUUAUCUGCCCUUUAGGCGAACCUGAUAUUUCAAUAUGGCGGCACGAUAUGAAAAUGAUUCGGAAGAUUGUAUUCCUGAAAUAGAUAUAUCGCUUAGUGUUAAUGUGCAGCCCUGCCAGUACGAACCAGUUGUACAGCGAGACACAUCCCCACUAGUGCAAAACGAUAGCGAUUCAGAAAACAGCGAGGAUCAAUCGGACGAAUGUCCUUCACCUCUUCACCAUCUGAUAUGCUUGCAAUGGUGAUCAUAUAGGCUAGUAAUUUCAUCGCAAUGCCCUCAAGAAGGGAGUCCAAAUGUUGCCGUGCAUAGGAUUGAAGAAGUGGGCGUGUCCUGCAUCACAGAUCACGAGGGUUUUGUUGUGGCAAACUGUCUCAAUGGAUAGGUUUUAGGAACAGCUUAUUAUGAGUACAUACAAAAUAAUGGUCCCUUGGAAGAAGGGGAAUUGAUUUACAAAUUUUACAGACAUCAUGCAGAUUGGAGAUCUGGUAAUGGCUUAAUUGAGAAAAACAAUCCGAAAGUUCUUCUAUCCUAGUGUUGUGACUAUGAUAAGAAAUCAUUCCAUCACGACAGUACUGUGGAUUUAAAUACCCUUUGAUAUUAAUUUAAAUGUGUUAUAAAUUUUUAAUGCAUUUCUCAUAAGUGAUACAUAAAUAAAUAUAAACAAGUAAACAUAGUUUGAUGUUCAGUUUUUAUAUUGUACAUAAUAUAUAAUCAUCAAUUUACAUAAACUAUGUAAUUUGGGUUAAACCCAAAAGGUCUACAGGCCCCAGUCACCUGAGUUUGACACAUGUUGGUAGGAAUUUGUGAUCAGGGCAGGAGAAUUACCAACAACAUCCACUACGUAACUUCCUGGAAUUUCUGUAGGUACCAAACUGAUCAAUUCCAUAGCUUAAUCUGAAUUACAAUUUCAUAUGUCUGAUGAUUUUUAUUAAAAUGAUAACAAAACGUUACAAUUCAAUAAACAUGUACUUUUUGUCUAGUAUUAUGACUAUCCACUCACAUUCAUACUAAUUAUAUGGGUCAAUUUAGAAAAUGUAGAUAUUUGAGGUGAAGAAAAAAAAAAAAAUUCCAAUGUCGCAGAAAAUUAAUUUUCAUAUUGAUGAAGCACUGUAAAAUAAAUGUCUAUACUAUUUAAUACCAAUGUUCUUUAAUAUUUUCUUCAUUGAAAUUGCUAAUUUAUUCAUUCAAAUAAUUUAAUGCAAAUUAGUAGAAAAAAACGCAAAUAAGUAUGCCAAAUUGACCUACAUGUAAAAUUUAUACAUAUAUUCGGUUUCUUUUUCCAACAACUGAAUUUAUUUAGUGAUACAAGUUUAAUUUUUCAUCUCAUAAUUGUAAGAAUAUUAUCAAAAAUACGGUUGUAAGAAAUAUUCAUUUAUUAAUUUCACUAUUUAUCUAUUAAGUAAAU